AAUCGAUGUAGAAAAGUGAUUGGU
This 24-nucleotide microRNA is filed under the name Glycine max (soybean). Its description in RNAcentral is "gma-miR4385". Lineage: Eukaryota; Viridiplantae; Streptophyta; Magnoliopsida; Fabales; Fabaceae. The record is from miRBase by way of RNAcentral.